RNAcentral lists this ribosomal RNA (300 nucleotides) under uncultured Campylobacter sp. RNAcentral's name for it is "bacterial SSU rRNA". The stretch from base 52 to 300 matches the Rfam family "Bacterial small subunit ribosomal RNA", at positions 547 to 795 of the family's 1533-position model. The record is from RNAcentral. Lineage: Bacteria; Pseudomonadati; Campylobacterota; Epsilonproteobacteria; Campylobacterales; Campylobacteraceae.
GCGAGUGGUGUUGUGGCGGGCGUGUGAAUAGGAGGGGGUGGGGGGUGGUUUGGAAUUAGUGGGCGUAACGGGGGGGUAGGCGGGUUGGUAAGGCUGAUGUGAAAUCUAUGGGCUCAAGUCAGAGUCUGCAUCGGAAACGGGCGGGGUGGAGUAUGGGAGAGGUGAGUGGAAUUCCUGGUGUAGCGGUGAAAUGCGUAGAUAUCAGGAGGAACACCUGUGGCGAAAGCGGCUCACUGGACCAUAACUGUCGCUGAUGCACGAAAGCUAGGGGAGCAAACAGGAUUAGAUACCCGAGUAGUC